CUGGACUCCAACUGCUAUGCUGAUGCUGAGGUAUGUGUGAAGAGACGUGGAGGGGUGGUGGUUGACCUUGUGGGACCCAGAAGGGGUUUUAUUUUGCUGUUUUUCUUGAUUCAGGACUUUUCAACCUUUCUGUCUGAAAGUGGUGUUGGGUUAGACCUCCCCUCUCUUUCUGUCUGUCUGCGGUAUCAGGUCAGGCCUCCCCUCUCUUUCCGUCUGUCUGUGGUGUCAGGUUAGACCUCCCCUCUCUUUCUGUCUGUGGUGUCAGGUUAGACCUCCUCUCUCUUUCUGUCUGUCUGUGGUGUCAAGUUAGAUCUCCCUUCUCUCUCUUUCUGUCUGUCUGUGGUGUCAGGUUAGACCUCCCCUGUCUUUCCGUCUGUCUGUGGUGUCAAGUUAGACCUCCCCUCUUUUUCCGUCUGUCUGUGGUGUCAAGUCAGACCUCCCGUCUCUUUCUGUCUGUCUGUGGUGUCAGGUUAGACCUCCCCUCUCUUUCUGUCUGUCUGUGGUGUCAAGUUAGACCUCCCCUCUCUCUCUUUCUGUCUGUCUGUGGUGUCAGGUUAGACCUCCCCUCUCUUUCUGUCUGUCUGUGGUGUCAAGUUAGACCUCCCCUCUCUCUCUUUCCGUCUGUCUGUGGUGUCAGGUUAGACCUCCCCUCUCUUUCUGUCUGUGGUGUCAGGUUAGACCUCCCCUGUCUUUCCGUCUGUCUGUAGUGUCAGGUUAGACCUCCGCUCUUUUUCUGUCUGUCUGUGGUGUCAAGUUAGACCUCCCCUCUCUUUCCGUCUGUCUGUGGUGUCAAGUUAGACCUCCCCUCUCUCUCUUUCUGUCUGUCUGUGGUGUCAGGUUAGACCUCCCCUCUCUUUCCAUCUGUCUGUGGGGUCAGGUUAGACCUCCCCUCUCUAUCUGUCUGUGGUGUCAGGUCAGACCUCCCCUCUCUUUCUGUCUGUCUGUGGUGUCAGGUUAGACCUCCCCUCUCUAUCUGUCUGUGGUGUCAGGUUAGACCUCCCCUCUCUUUCCGUCUGUCUGUGGUGUCAAGUUAGACCUCCCUUCUCUAGCUGUCCACUCUAUCUGUCUGUUGUGUCAGGUUAGACCUCCCCUCUCUUUCUGUCUGUCUGUGGUGUCAAGUUAGACCUCCCCUCUCUCUCUUUCCGUCUGUCUGUGGUGUCAGGUUAGACCUCCCCUCUCUUUCUGUCUGUCUGUGGUGUCAAGUUAGACCUCCCCUCUCUCUCUGUCUCUCUGUCUGUGGUGUCAGGUUAGACCUCCCCUCUCUUUCCGUCUGUCUGUGGUGUAAGGUUAGACCUCCCCUCUCUUUCUGUCUGUGGUGUCAGGUUAGACCUCCCCUGUCUUUCCGUCUGUCUGUGGUGUCAGGUUAGACCUCCGCUCUUUUUCUGUCUGUCUGUGGUGUCAAGUUAGACCUCCCCUCUCUUUCCGUCUGUCUGUGGUGUCAAGUUAGACCUCCCCUCUCUCUCUUUCUGUCUGUCUGUGGUGUCAGGUUAGACCUCCCCUCUCUUUCCAUCUGUCUGUGGGGUCAGGUUAGACCUCCCCUCUCUAUCUGUCUGUGGUGUCAGGUCAGACCUCCCCUCUCUUUCCGUCUGUCUGUGGUGUCAGGUUAGACCUCCCCUCUCUAUCUGUCUGUGGUGUCAGGUCAGACCUCCCCUCUCAUUCCGUCUGUCUGUGGUGUCAGGUUAGACCUCCCCUCUCUUUCCAUCUGUCUGUGGGGUCAGGUUAGACCUCCCCUCUCUAUCUGUCUGUGGUGUCAGGUCAGACCUCCCCUCUCUUUCUGUCUGUCUGUGGUGUCAGGUUAGACCUCCCCUCUCUAUCUGUCUGUGGUGUCAGGUUAGACCUCCCCUCUCUUUCCGUCUGUCUGUGGUGUCAAGUUAGACCUCCCUUCUCUAGCUGUCCACUCUAUCUGUCUGUUGUGUCAGGUUAGACCUCCCCUCUCUAUCUGUCUGUGGUGUCAAGUUAGACCUCCCCUCUCUAUCUGUCUGUGGUGUCAGGUUAGACCUCCCCUCUCUUUCCGUCUGUCUGUGGUGUCAGGUUAGACCUCCCCUCUCUGGACAGACAGACAGACACUGGACAGACAGACAGACACUGAACAGACAGACACUGAACAGACAGACAGACACUGAACAGACAGACAGACACUGGACAGACAGACACUGGACAGACAGACAGACAGACAGACAGACAGACAGACAGACAGACAGACAGACAGACAGACAGACACUGAACAGACAGACACUGGACAGACAGACAGACACUGAACAGACAGACAGACAGACACUGGACAGACAGACACUGAACACACAGACAGACACUGGACAGACAGACACUGAACAGACAGACACUGGACAGACAGACAGACACUGGACAGACAGACAGACACUGAACAGACAGACAGACACUGAACAGGCAGACACUGAACAGGCAGACACUGGACAGACAGACACUGAACAGACAGACACUGGACAGACAGACAGACAGACACUGAACAGACAGACAGACACUGAACAGACAGACACUGGACAGACAGACACUGGACAGACAGACAGACACUGAACAGGCAGACACUGGACAGACAGACAGACACUGGACAGACAGACACUGAACAGACAGACAGACACUGGACAGACAGACACUGAACAGACAGACACUAGACAGACAGACAGACACUGAACAGACAGACAGACACUGAAUAGACAGACACUGGACAGACAGACACUGGACAGACAGACAGACACUGAACAGGCAGACACUGGACAGACAGACAGACACUGGACAGACAGACACUGAACAGACAGACACUGGACAGACAGACAGACACUGGACAGACAGACACUGAACAGACAGACAGAUACUGAACAGGCAGACACUGGACAGACAGACAGACACUGGACAGACAGACACUGAACAGACAGAUACUGGACAGACAGACAGACACUGGACAGACAGACAGACACUGGACAGACAGACAGACACUGGACAGACAGACACUGGACAGAGAGACAGUGGACAGACAGACACUGAAUAGUUAACCUUUAUUUAUAUGGAUGACGCUGGGCCACACUGUACCAUGUCUACCCAAAAUAGUUCACUUUUAUUUAACUAGGCCAGUCUGUCUACAAUGACGGCCUACACCGGCCAAAACCCAGACGACGCUGGGCCACUCUGUACCAUGUCUACCCACAAUACAUUCAAUCAACACAAUCAAAUGUAUUUAUAAAGCCAGAUAUCACCAAGUGCUUAUACAGAAACCCAGCCUAACCCCCCCCCCCAAAACAAAACAGCACGCAAUGCAGAUGUAGAAGCACGACACCGAGUCAACCUACCUACAAUACCCCAUGUCUACUACCCACAGUACACCAUGUCUGGACAGCUGACGAUGUGAA
Molecule: long non-coding RNA, 3383 nt
Filed under: Salmo salar (Atlantic salmon)
Lineage: Eukaryota; Metazoa; Chordata; Actinopteri; Salmoniformes; Salmonidae
Description: lncRNA (ENSSSAG00000098167.1, ENSSSAG00000100944.1)
Source: RNAcentral